This is an RNA transcript of Glycine soja, 4958 nucleotides long. RefSeq lists it as uncharacterized. Lineage: Eukaryota; Viridiplantae; Streptophyta; Magnoliopsida; Fabales; Fabaceae. The record is from RefSeq and is a predicted model, not a curated record. The transcript is spliced from 3 exons.
AGAUGAGUGAGAGUCUAGUGGAAGGGAUUAUUAAGCUUCCACUUGAAGAACCAAGAUCCAAAUCUCCAUUAGAAGAGACACUCUUGUUUAAGAACAAGAUUACAUCCCAAGAAAGAUAGGUGGAAAGAAAAGUACCCCUUUGGGGGGAAGAGACCAUUGGUGCAAGAAUCCAGAUUUGGCAGUGGUGGGGUCCAUACUCCAUAGCUUCCACACACUUAGUCCAGUGAUGCCAUCCAUCACAAUUCAUAAUUCAUAACAUUUCUUCUUCUCAUCUCUUUCUCUCUGACACACACAGACUCAAACCACAACCCCAACCUUUCUAAUUAUUCCACCAUGGCUGCAGCAUCAUCAACUCUAUUUUCCUUCUCCUUUCCCUUCGACCCUCAAAUCCAAACCCUCUCUUUCCCUCUCUCCUCCGCAAAACCUCGCUUCUCCCCGAAACCCUUCUCCACUUUUAAACUCACCUCUACCCAUUCCUCCUCCUCUUCCUCCCUCACUGUCUCCGACGAUCCCUUCAACACCGGCCGCUUCCUCUCCAACGACGAGCUUCGCCGCCUCCGCCUCCUGGAGACCUUCCUCUACCGCUGCGACCUCCCUUCCGGCGGCUCCCUCUCCGUCCGCGUCAUGCGCCCCCACGAGACCGACCCCACCGUCCUCCUCCUGGCCGCGUCCUUCGCCGAGUCCAUGCUCCUCCCCCAACCCUACGUCAAAUUCCUCGCCUUCCUCGUUAAGCAGUACCUCCUCGAUCGCAGGUCCCUCAUGCCCCACACCGCCACCCUCGUCGCAUUCUACACCCAAACAGCCGCCGCCGCUGCUGAUCAAGACCAAGAACAAGAACAAGAAGCGCGCUUAGCGGGGACGGUGGAGCUGAGUUUUGACAUUAGAGGUGCCAAUGCUACCGUCCCCUCGCCCACCCCUCCCAGAGAUAAGCCUUACAUUUGUAACAUGGCCGUCAGAAAGUCUCUGAGGAGCUCUUGUUGUCACCAACAUCAAGAAUCAUAUCUCCAUCACCCUGGAGAUGAAAAAUGUCCAAUAUGCAACGUGGCGGAACUGUUCAAGAUUCAUGUAUGUUUUCACAAGGUCUUCCAUCACAUCGUCCCACCAGAGAAAGACAAGGAGAAGGUGCCUAAAAUCGAUGAAGAAAAGGAGUUGUGGUCGACCCUUGAUGUUGUGGUCCAUCAAUGGAUCUAGGCAACAAUCUCACAUGACAUGUUGCAUACUACUCUUGAACCCGACGCAACGACAAUGGAGGCGUGGAAUAGGUUGCGUGAUAUAUUCCAAGACAAUAAAGAUUCUCGGGCUGUAAAUUCUCCUGUACCAACAUGGAGGAUUUCUCAAAUGCCUCUGCGUACUGUCAACGACUUAAGGAAUUGUUUGAUCAACUCAAGAACGUAGGCGCACUAGUGUCAAAUAACUGUCUUGUUUUUCAAAUGGUGGUCGGCCUCACCGAGGCUUACAAUGGGGAUGCCACACUCAUUCGUCAAAGUGAUCCUCUUUCACCGUUCUAUCAAGCUCGCUCUAUGCUCACCUUAGAAGAAGUUGGUCUUGCGAAGAAGGUUGCAAUCGACAGGGGUGCCGCCAUGGUGGCUCAUGACAUUGAUGACUCUCACUCCCUCUCCAAAAAUUCCUAUCAAAAUCGGAAUAUUCAUGGUGGUAAAAAGGGUCAAAACCGCAACAACAGUGGCAAAAACAAUGGAGGCAAUCGUGGUGGUGUCAAGAGCAGCAAUGGUGGUGGCCGUAAUAGUGAUUGGCAGUAGUAGUCCGACCAGCAGCAAUCGAGGCACCAGCAGUGGCCUAUAGGACAAUGACAGUGGCCAUGGAUGCCUUGGGCUCUUUCACCUUACCUAUACCCCUCAUCCAACGACCCACCCCCCACAUGACAUUCGAGCAAGGUAAUCUCUCAUAUUAUUUUAAUUUGUGCAAUAAUCGUGGUAUAAUUAUCGGUAAUGGCCAUUCAAUUCCAAUUCGUGGUUAUGGUCACACCAAUUUGUCUCCCCCGAAUCCACCCUUCGCCUUGAAAAAUAUCCUUCAUGCCCCUCAACUUAUUAAAAACUUAGUGUCGGUACGAAAGUUUACAACUGAUAAUUCAAUUGUUGUUGAAUUUGACCUUUUUGAUUUUUCUGUGAAGGAUUUCCUGAUGGGGGUACAUCUCAUGAGAUGUGAGAGUUGAGGCGGCCUUUAUCACAUCACCACAAAUCUAGCCACUUCAUCAACUACUUUUUCUGCUUUAGCACCAUUGUUAUGGCAUGCACGUUUGGGUCAUCUUGGAGCACCUGUUUUUGACUCCCUUAGGCUAAAUAAAUUUAUUGAGUGUAAUCAAACUCGUAGUUCUCAUGUUUGUCACUCUUGUUCUCUUGGGAAAAAUGUUAAGUUACCAUUUGUUUCUUCUCAUUCUUGUACUAUUAUGCCUUUUGAUAUUAUUCAUAGUGAUAUUUGAACAUCUCCCUUUUUGAGUUCUUCGGGCCAUCGAUAUUAUGUUUUGUUGUUGGAUGAUUACUCUAAUUUUUUGUUGACAUUUCCAUUGUCUAAGAAGUCUCAAGUUUUUUUUCACAUUUCUAUCUUUUAGAGCUUUCAUUCACACUCAGUUUGAACUGGAAGUAAAAAACAUUCUAUGUAAUAAUGGUAGGGAGUUUGAUAAUGGACCCUUUUAGGAAUUUUGUAAAGUAAAUGGGUUAGCUUUUUGUCUCUCUUGUCCACAUACAUCAUCACAAAAUGGGAAAACCAAAAGAAAAAUCUGUACCAUUAACAACAUUAUCCGUACUCUACUAGUCCAUGCAUCUUUACCACCUUCCUUUUGGCAUCAUGCUUUGCAAAUGACAACAUAUCUUCUCAAAAUUAUUACAAAUAAACAAUUAGCCUAUCAAUCACCUUUCAAGGUUCUUUAUCAAAAGGACCCUUCCUACUCUCAUCUUCGACUGUUUGAGUGUUUAUGCUAUCCACUUUUUCCCUCUACUACCAUAAACAAACUUCAAGCCCGUUCCACUCCUUGUGUCUUUUUGGGGUACCCAUCUAAUCAUCAUGGGUACAAGUGCUAUGAUUAGUCUUAUCGUAAAAUCAUACUAAGUCAUCAUGUCAUUUUUUAUGAAACUCAAUUCCCUUUUGCUAAGUUGCACAUUCCACAACCUCACACUUAUGAUUUUAUGAAUGACAGACCCUCCCCUUAUGUGGUCCACCAUUUGACCUCUCUGCAGGCCCAAACCAACCGACCUAGCAUGCCUUGCCUAACCCGCAACUUGCUGCCCAGCCUACACCUCUAUCCGGCCCACCCACACUUAGCCCACAAUCACAACAAAAGCAACCCUCACUCAACCCAGCACUUGCACCUUCACCUCCAUAUCAGCCCACUCAUUUUUCGGCUUUCAUACCCGUGACACGUAGUUAGCAUAGGAUUUUUAAACCCAAACGACAUUUAAAUCUCAACAAUAAUGUCACUAAAUCCCCCUUACCGCAUAAUCAUGUGUCUGCCCGUCGUGACCCGAAUUGGAAAAUGACUAUGGAUGAUGAAUUUAAUGCUCUUAUUAAAAAUAAGAUGUGGGAGUUGGUGCCCCAUCCACCUGAUGUUAAUGUGAUCCAGUCUAUGUGAAUUUUUACUCAUAAAAAAAAUCUGGUAUUUUUGAGAGGCAUAAGACCCGUCUUGUAGGGGAUGACAAAAUACAACAGGUUGGCGUGGAUUGCGGUGAAACUUUUAGCCUGAUAGUCAAACCGACAACUAUUCGCACUGUUCUCAGUUUAGCCAUCUCUAAAGCAGGCCCAUUCACCAACUUGACGUGAAGAAUGCUAUCUUGCAUGAAGAACUCAAAGAGACUGUGUACAUGCAUCAGCCCAUGGGUUUUAGGGACCCGAGUCAUCCUAAUCAUGUAUGCUUGUUGAAGAAAUCUCUAUAUGGCCUCAAACAGGCCCCUCAGGCUUGGUACAAGAGAUUUGCUUAUUAUGUUUCUACUCUUGGGUUUUCUCGUAGUACUUUUGAUCAUUCUCUCUUCAUUUAACGACAAGGUACAACUUUGGCUUACAUUCUUUUGUAUGCGGAUGAUAUUAUCUUGACAACUUCCUUUGAUGCUAUUCGCAAGUCUAUCAUAUCCCUUCUUAGCUCAAAAUUUGGUAUGAAGGACCUAGGGCCGUUGAGUUGUUUCUUGGGUAUAGUUGUAACUCAUCAUACAGGUGGUCUAUUCUUAUCUUAGCGGAAGUAUGCAGCAAAGAUCAUUGAACAGGUCGGCAUGUCAUCUUGUAAGCCAUCUCUUACUCCGGUUGACUCAAAACCAAAGCUCAAUGCUAAUUCCAGCACACCAUAUGCCCGAUCCAUCUCAUUAUCGAAGCCUUGCAGGGACUCUUCAAUAUUUCACCUUCACGAGACCUGAUAUUGCUUGUGAUGUGCAACAAGUGUGUUUAUUCAUGCAUGACCCGAGGGAAGAACACAUGCACGCUCUCAAGCGCAUUGUGUGCUACAUUCAGGGUACUUUUGAUCAUGGCUUGCAUCCCUAUCCAUCUUUCACAUCUACUCUUCUCUCUUAUACAGAUGCUGAUUGGGGUGGGUGUCUGGAUACCAGACGCUCUACAUUGGGUUAUUGUGUGUUUCUUGGUCCACCAAAUGGCAAGCUACGUUGUCACGAUCUAGUGCGGAGGCGGAAUAACGAGGUGUUGUCAAUGUGGUUUCUGAGUUUUGUUGGUUACGAAACCUUCUUCUAGAGCUUCAUUGUCCUAUUCGAAAAGCUACCUUGGUAUAUUGUGAUAAUGUUAGUGUGAUAUAUCUCUAUGAAAAUCCUGUUCAACAUUAGCGCACUAAACAUAUUGAGAGGGAUAUUCACUUUGUUCGCGAAAAGAUUGCUCAUGGGGAAGUUCGAGUCUUACAUGUCAUGUCACAUUAUCAGAUUGCAGGAGGGGCAUUGGCUGGCAUCUUCUAAGGGCAAGUGAGGAAUUAAUUUCUCAGAUGAGUUCCGCAAGAGAGGUUUACUUGCAUUGCA